GUGUAUAUAGUUUAAUUAAAACACUAGAUUGUGAUUCUAGAAACGAAAGUGAAAUCCUUUCUAUAAACC
Molecule: transfer RNA, 69 nt
Filed under: Desmognathus ocoee (Ocoee salamander)
Lineage: Eukaryota; Metazoa; Chordata; Amphibia; Caudata; Plethodontidae
Description: tRNA-His
Rfam family: tRNA
About the family: Transfer RNA (tRNA) molecules are approximately 80 nucleotides in length. Their secondary structure includes four short double-helical elements and three loops (D, anti-codon, and T loops).
Source: RNAcentral